AUACAUUUAAAGACACAGUGAUAAAAAAUAUGGAGCUAAAGAUUUGCCAUAGCAAUAAAUCGUCACCAAACUCCUUGCAUAUAGCUAGCGACGAAAUCUUGGGCUAGACCACCACAGCUUCGUGGCUUUUCCCCAUAUAGCGUACGUGAACCCCCUCGGUGUAAGGAUUAAAUGUAGUAUUACAGUUUUUUAUUUGGUUUGAAAAUGGACUAAACAAUCGGAAAUUUUCAAGCGGGAAAACUAGAAAUUUGAAAAGAGGUUUCAGUGGCCACCAUGGCACGGAAAAACAAAAAGUGUUCUGGAAUGGGUGAAAAUGUUUCAAAAUUCUGUGUUAUUAACAUUUGUUUUAUCUCAAACGAUUAUUUGAGAUAUCGAGUACAGCAAAUCCCUUCUGAAUUUUUCAAUCACCAAGAACUGGUAAAGAAAGUGCUGAAAACAAGUUCGAAAUUUGUACUGACUUUUUUUAUAAAUAUUUUGGCUAAGGAUAUUUGGCAGCUUAGUACGCCAUUUCGUUCCAAUAUGUUGAACUUGAAUUUUUUUAAAUUCACAACUUAUUUAUGGAUCUAGGCAAAGUGAUAAAGUUGUUUUGAAACAAAUAUAACAUUUCUAAAACUGUAAAAAAAUACCACUUUUAAUAACGUUCCUGAACAUUAGUUUUCGUUGUAUCAUUUUAUGUUUAGUUAUUUUAAUGCAUGCAGAAUGGAAGAAUGAAAAUCUUUUUUCCAGUGGUUUUCAAGAUAAGGCUACAUGUAAAUCCCAUGAGAAAUAAAUUAUUAAUAUUUUGUUUGUCACAAAAUCUAUCUACUUCUGACAGAGCCUUUAAAUAUUUCUGGUGUUAAUAAAAUUUUAACUUAAAUGUUUGUUUCAGCUGACAAUCCACGUGAUUCAACAAAUGGGUUAAUUUCUUAGGUUGUAAUCUGUGCUUGUUUUCGAAUCCAUCUUUACGUCUUUUAUUCCGUCAUAAUAUAGGUUCAAGAAUAUGAAGAGAUUAGUUGAAAAAUAUUAAUUGUAAUCACAACUUCCAUAGAGCUACAUCACAAUCUCAAUAAUAUGUUGUUUAUUUCUUUA
This is a long non-coding RNA of Homalodisca vitripennis (glassy-winged sharpshooter), 1068 nucleotides long. RefSeq lists it as uncharacterized. The record is from RefSeq and is a predicted model, not a curated record. The transcript is spliced from 2 exons. Lineage: Eukaryota; Metazoa; Arthropoda; Insecta; Hemiptera; Cicadellidae.